Mus musculus (house mouse) is the source of this 1077-nucleotide long non-coding RNA. RefSeq annotates it as predicted gene, 54231. The transcript has 2 exons. The record is from RefSeq and is a predicted model, not a curated record. Lineage: Eukaryota; Metazoa; Chordata; Mammalia; Rodentia; Muridae.
CAAACAUUUGCCUCUGCCUCCAGGGUGCUGAAAUUAAAGGUAGGUAAGGAUGGAGGAUGCUGGCCUUGGAGUUCUUUGGAGGUAAGAGAUGAGCUCAAGGUGACAAAGUUAGUAGGCCACAGCUAGACACAACCCCAGCACCGUGAAGUUUCAUCAGAAAAGCUUCCUGCUCCUCUUCAAGAAGAUGGUCGUUCAGAUGCUCUGGGCUUCACCAACAGCCUUCCUCAGGACCCAUGUCUGCACUGUCUCGCCACAUAGGGAAGUACUGGACUUUCAAAUGGCCUCAUGAACUUUUUAUAACGAAACAGAACAUACACAAAAGUAGAAAGAAAUGUGCAGUGUUGCCUCCCUCCCUGGGUAUUAUAAGUCCAACAUACAUCAAUGUAUGGCCUCUCUUGUCUGUGCUCCACCAUUUCUUCACACUGUUAAUGCAAGUCCCAGAGGUCACGUCAGUUCGGCUUUAAGCAUAGUUAUGUGUGCAUGACAAUCCAGCCAUCACCAAACAGCACCUGGUCUUAUAAGAUCAAAAUGGAGCUGAGAGAACCCUGAUACCUAUAAUGUCAUAGCCACCCUAAAAGUCUUAGCACAUUAUAUCACUCUUGUAUUUGUGGUGACACUGAUGUAAAUAUACCUACCGGUCAAGUGCAGGAAGGCCCUGGGUUUGGUCACCUGCAACUGGAGGGAGAAAGGGAGGAAGGGAGGGAGGGAUAGAUAGAUACUAUCUUGGAGAGAGGAGACUGUAAAGGAAGAUUUCAAGUUCACAACCCGUCUGGGCUUCUUUGAGAAUAAUGUCAAAAAAAAAAAAAAAAAAAAAAAGAGCCAGGUGUGCUGACAUACACCUUUAAUCCCAACACUCAGGAGGUAGAGGCAAGUAGAUAUCUGUGAAUUCAAGGCCAUCCUGGUCUACAAAGUGAGUCCAGGACACCCAGGGCUCUGUUACACAGAGAAAAACUGUCUCAAAAACAAAACAAAAAACAGAACAAAACAAGCAAGCAAACAAACAGAAAGAACAGUACAUGUGGUUGUGCACAGGACAUAAAUACUUGACUAUGGUAAUAAACCAUUAUGUUGCUGGUC